This is a non-coding RNA of Lyophyllum atratum, 94 nucleotides long. The record is from the annotation of a GenBank genome assembly. Lineage: Eukaryota; Fungi; Basidiomycota; Agaricomycetes; Agaricales; Lyophyllaceae.
GCCCCGCUGGUGUAAUGGCAGCACGCCCUACCGCUAUGUGUACGCACACGACCGAGUCAUUGGGGCGGAGCUCGUUCGACUCGAGCGCGGGGCA